RNAcentral lists this long non-coding RNA (1155 nucleotides) under Capra hircus (goat). Its description in RNAcentral is "lncRNA (ENSCHIG00010015606.1)". Lineage: Eukaryota; Metazoa; Chordata; Mammalia; Artiodactyla; Bovidae. The record is from RNAcentral.
CAGUGAUUUUCAAGGUCAGGAGUUCCUUAUCAUUGUUUCCCGUACUAGCUAUGUAGGCUGCUGGGGAUUUUUGCCAUUUUACAGUCACCAGCCUUCCAUUCUGUGGACCUUUAUUUCCUUCUGGUGAAUUUCUUACCUCCCACUGUGGGGACUAAAAGGGCCAGGCCCUUCCUCUACCAACCUUAGGACAGCCAGGGGUUGGGCACCUGUCCCUAAUCAGACUCUAUUCUGAGACUGUGAAGAACAAUGCAGGCCCUGAGAGUGCAGGGGGCUUGAAGCCAGGCUGUGGUCCCCUUGCUCAGUCGUCAGAGUUCCUAUACAGUCUACAGAGUUCCUGGCCUCACCCAAUCCCCCUCCAAUGGAGUCCUCUUGCUCAGAGAGAGAGAGAGAGGCCACCUCCAGUUCUUGUAGCUACAAGGCAUACUUAAAGAAUAAAUUUUUGGUAAAUAAUUCUUCCUGUGUAUAAGUCCUAUUUUUGUUUCCACUUGAAUUGUAUGUACCUGCGGGCAGUUCCCGCUUCCUCCUAAGCCCAGAGCUUGGUGUGGCUUAAUGGCGAGAAAGGGGCUUUGGAGCCAGAAGGCUUGAGCACGAGGCUCAGCCCCAGCGCUCACCCACUGUGGUUGCUUGGUUUCAUCAUGUGGCAUCUUUAGUCUGGACUCUGCAUUUGUAAAGUGAGUGUGAUGCUUAGAAUGGUUACCCUCCUUCCAGGCUUCAGGGCCUAUGUGAGGGUCCCAUGAGUUACCUGGGAACCAGUCUGAAGGGACCUUAUCUCCUUCAUAUUCAGCAAACAGAAGCCAAUGCCACCCUGCUCCCAAGGAGGAGACGCACAAGCAGACAGGUGAUUGUCUAGGUCGGCCGUACAGGCAUGUGACAGAGGCAGCCACGCAGGAGUUCGGAAGGGCCCCGCACUUGGCUUAGGCUCUGUUCUCACCAUCUUGAAAUUCUCAACAGUUUUGAACAAGGGGUCCUGCACUUUCAUUUUCCACUGGGCCUGCGGAUUAUUUAGUGAUUAAAAUACUCUGAUUAAAAUAUUGUGUGAACUGAGAGCACAUACAGUGUGAGUCCAUUUGUAUGAAGUGUGAAAACAGGUGACACUAAUCUAAAGGGUAGAAGUAGGGGUGGUAGUUAUGGGGGCUGAGUGAGGAGGGAGCGGGG